Oncorhynchus tshawytscha (Chinook salmon) is the source of this 1704-nucleotide long non-coding RNA. NCBI's taxonomy places the organism in Eukaryota, Metazoa, Chordata, Actinopteri, Salmoniformes, Salmonidae. The record is from Ensembl.
GGUCUUGCUAGAUCUUCCCUCCCAUACUCAAUCAUUUUGUACUUUCAGUUGUGGCUACUUUAUGUAUAUAAUGGUAUGCCUGUGUGUAUAUAUCUGGUCUCUUCAUCUUGAGAUAGACCCUCUGAACCAUUUUUUCAUUGCUUUCUUUUACCACUAGGGGGCACACUCCUCUCCAGCUCAUCCACGUACAAUACCGUGUGAAAUAAUGUCUCCCCGCAAAAUGUGCUCUUCUUACCAUGACAGGUUGUUAUGGUGGGGGACAGUGGACCGGCUUUCUGUCACUUUUGUUUUUACAGCGUUUUCAUGGCCAAUCACCUCGCCCAUCUAGACUUGGUUGGUGGUCUGCCAAUCGGAGGCCUACAGCCGUUAUGUACUGAGUGUUGCUUUGACGAAUGGCCACGUUGAGAGGGGGUUCGGGGGUGGGGGUUUGGUAGGUUUUGCCUGUGUUGGUUAAAGGGAGGCAAAAUGUUUUUUAAGAUAGGGCGGAUUAGUACGGUGUGGAGGAUUUGGACACCAGGGCAUCCCGUGUACUGGGCCCUGACAAGGAUCUAAGGAUUUUGAGAGGUAGAGGGCCAUUAUUUCUAUUCAACCAUAUUUUUUAGGGGCCGAUUUUCUGAAGGGCUUGUAUAGAAUCAUGUUUUUAUUAGUUAGAUGGCUAGUAUCCAAAACACACAGAGGAAAAAGGGAAGGGGAGACGUGAGUUCAGACUGGUCUGAAACCUCAGCCUUGUGAAUGAAUGUCUAAGUGUCCUGGGGUGGGGAUGGGGGAGGUCGGGAGAUGGGUACGCUGGGGUUGUCUCACCAACACUCCUUGAACAAAACAGCUGUGACACCGUGGUUGGAAUGGGGGAGGGCAUAAAGGAGUAUGGGGAGGGGGGGGCACAGACAUGUACAACCUUUUGUGAUGUUCAAAAUAAACAUGGUUAUGACCAUGCACGAUGACGGGGAUACUGAUGAAAUGUUGAAAUGAUUUGACGGUGAUGAGAUACUGUAUGAAUGACGACAACAACAAAAACAUGUUUCACACGAUCUGUCUAGAAAAAUACUGAAGAUUUAAAAAAAAAAUGCAAAUAAACAUUUGAAAACAGAGAGAAGCAUUUAUGUUUGAGUAUUUCCACUGAUCUAUGUGUUGAUCUUGGUCUGAAUGUUUUGUGGUAUGAAAGGGUUCGCUUCAAUACAUAAUUUCAGUUUACAUUGAGUCACUGUUGUGUUUCAGGAACAUUGAGUUGCUGUCGGAGCGUGACAAAGUCCACCUUUAAUCCUUCCUCAAACAUCUCUAUGUCCCUGAAACAGGCUCAGGGACAUAGAUGUUUGAGGAAGGAUUAAAUGUGGACUUUGUCAAGCUCUGACGACAACUCACUGAUCCUGAAAACCAAACUGUGACGAGAUUGUUUUGUGUCAAUCUGAAUCCUCUGAUACCUGACCUGCUGAGUGUGUAUGUGGGCAUGCGUCCAUGUGUAUGUCUGUAUAGUGAACGGUCUUCCCUAGUCAAUUCUGGACCUUUCAGUCUCUAGUUGUGUCCGUUAAGUGGACAGUUCUCUGGCUGUGGUAUUAGACUGUGGGUAAACAGAGGUCUCUGUGGUAUUAGACUGUGGGUAAACAGAGGUCUCUGUGGUAUUAGACUGUGGGUAAACAGAGGUCUCUGUGGUAUUAGACUGUGGGUAAACGGAGGUCUCUGUGGUAUUAGACUGUGGGUAAACAGAGG